RNAcentral lists this long non-coding RNA (395 nucleotides) under Sinocyclocheilus grahami. RNAcentral describes it as "lncRNA (ENSSGRG00000005798.1)". The record is from RNAcentral. Lineage: Eukaryota; Metazoa; Chordata; Actinopteri; Cypriniformes; Cyprinidae.
CCACAACAACAUCAGCUUCUCCUCCAGUGCGCUCAACAUCAUUCUCUCCUCCAGUUCGCUCAACAUCAGUCUCUCCUCCACAAACUCCUCCAGCAGCAUCUCUCUCUGUCCCCCCAGUGCUUGUGAUUGUACUGGGAGUUGUGCUCUUACUGCUCUUAGUGCCACAGCUUAUACUGAUUCAGCAGAACAGAGUGAUGAGGAGAGCUCUCUCUAAGAGGAGGCACAGGACGAUGACUGAGGCUGUUUAUGAGGAGAUUCAGCACAGACACAAUCACUUCACUCAGAGGGACUAAAUGGACCAAAAGGCUCCAGAAGAAUAUGUCAACACUGAUAGAAUUGUGAGAAUUGUCCAUACUAAAAUGAUCAUUCUAAAAUAAAUAUGAAGUAGGACCGCA